RNAcentral lists this ribosomal RNA (497 nucleotides) under uncultured bacterium. RNAcentral's name for it is "partial 16S ribosomal RNA". It matches the Rfam family "Bacterial small subunit ribosomal RNA", at positions 28 to 507 of the family's 1533-position model. The record is from RNAcentral.
GAUGAACGCUGGCGGCGUGCCUAAUACAUGCAAGUCGAGCGAACAGACGAGGAGCUUGCUCCUCUGACGUUAGCGGCGGACGGGUGAGUAACACGUGGAUAACCUACCUAUAAGACUGGGAUAACUUCGGGAAACCGGAGCUAAUACCGGAUAAUAUAUUGAACCGCAUGGUUCAAUAGUGAAAGACGGUUUUGCUGUCACUUAUAGAUGGAUCCGCGCCGCAUUAGCUAGUUGGUAAGGUAACGGCUUACCAAGGCAACGAUGCGUAGCCGACCUGAGAGAGUGAUCGGCCACACUGGAACUGAGACACGGUCCAGACUCCUACGGGAGGCAGCAGUAGGGAAUCUUCCGCAAUGGGCGAAAGCCUGACGGAGCAACGCCGCGUGAGUGAUGAAGGUCUUCGGAUCGUAAAACUCUGUUAUUAGGGAAGAACAAAUGUGUAAGUAACUAUGCACGUCUUGACGGUACCUAGUCAGAAAGCCACGGCUAACUACGUG